AGAACGCAGCGAAAUGCGAUAAGUAGUGUGAAAUUGCAGAAUUCAGUGAAUCAUCGAAUCUUUGAACGCACAUUGCGCCCUUUGGUAUUCCAAAGGGCAUGCCUGUUCGAGCGUCAU
This 117-nucleotide ribosomal RNA is filed under the name Alternaria sp. U53. RNAcentral describes it as "partial 5.8S ribosomal RNA". It matches the Rfam family "5.8S ribosomal RNA", at positions 40 to 154 of the family's 154-position model. Rfam says of the family: 5.8S ribosomal RNA (5.8S rRNA) is a component of the large subunit of the eukaryotic ribosome. It is transcribed by RNA polymerase I as part of the 45S precursor that also contains 18S and 28S rRNA. Functionally, it is thought that 5.8S rRNA may be involved in ribosome translocation. Lineage: Eukaryota; Fungi; Ascomycota; Dothideomycetes; Pleosporales; Pleosporaceae. The record is from RNAcentral.